Molecule: ribosomal RNA, 307 nt
Filed under: Pireneitega burqinensis
Lineage: Eukaryota; Metazoa; Arthropoda; Arachnida; Araneae; Agelenidae
Description: partial 12S ribosomal RNA
Source: RNAcentral
AAACUAAUUUAAUCUGGCGGCAUUUCAUCUAAUUAGAGGAAUUUGUCUACUAAUCGAUACUCCACGUUAAAUUUUACUUUACUUUAAAAUCUAUAUACCGCCAUCUCAAGAAUUAAUUUAAAAAUUUUCUUCCCAAUAAUUAAUAAAAAGUUAGGUCAAGGUGUAAUCUAUAUUAAAGAAUAAGAUGAAUUACAUUAAACAAUAUUUAAAGACUAUAUAUAUAAAUAUAAAUACAAAUAAGAAUUUAAAAGUAAUAUAAUAACAAUAAUUUUAUAUGAUAAAAACAAUAAAUGUGUACACAUCGCCC